UACGAGGGGGGCGAGCGUUGUUCGGAAUUAUUGGGCGUAAAGGGUGCGUAGGCGGUUUGGUAAGUCUGAUGUGAAAUCUAUGGGCUCAACUCAUAGUCUGCAUCGGAAACUGCCGGGCUUGAGUGUGGGAGAGGUGAGUGGAAUUCCUGGUGUAGCGGUGAAAUGCGCAGAUAUCAGGAAGAACACCGGUGGCGAAGGCGGGUCUCUGGGCCGUAACUGACGCUGAGGAGCGAAAGCGUGGGGGAGCGAACAGG
Molecule: ribosomal RNA, 254 nt
Filed under: uncultured bacterium
Lineage: Bacteria
Description: partial 16S ribosomal RNA
Rfam family: Bacterial small subunit ribosomal RNA
Source: RNAcentral